AGCAGCCGCGGUAAUUCCAGCUCCAAUAGCGUAUAUUAAAGUUGUUGCAGUUAAAAGCUCGUAGUUGAAUUUCGGGAUCAAUACGUCGGUCGUGCUUCGGUACGUACUGGCGUAAUUGAUUUCUCCCUUCUGACGAACCAUGAUGUCAUUAACUUGGUGUCAUGGGAAAUCAGGACUGUUACUUUAGAAAAAUUGAGUGUUUAAAGCAGGCUCACGCUUGAAUACAUUAGCAUGGAAUAAUGAAAUAGGACGUUCGAUCCUAUUUUGUGGUUUUUAGGAUCAAC
RNAcentral lists this unclassified non-coding RNA (284 nucleotides) under uncultured Glomus. RNAcentral describes it as "sequence contains 18S rRNA gene". It matches the Rfam family "Eukaryotic small subunit ribosomal RNA", at positions 569 to 861 of the family's 1831-position model. Lineage: Eukaryota; Fungi; Glomeromycota; Glomeromycetes; Glomerales; Glomeraceae. The record is from RNAcentral.